GUAGAGGAAUCGAUACCGUGGACGACUCCGUGAGAAUAGUGGUCGUGGUAGUCGUCGUGCUGGUUUCGGACGGUUUCGACGGAACCAUUGUCGACGAGGAAUCCAAAGAGGCAGGGGAUCGAUGUUGCGACCCCAUCCUCCACUUAUUUAUUGGAACAGGUCCCAUCGACUUCAAGCAGUCGGAAACCGACUUUGGCCUGUUUUCCGAGGAUCCUUUCCUCGACCAGCCAGGCAAUGAUCCUUCGUCCAAACGGUUCUUCAGGUUCUCCUGGCUGGUGGAGUCGAGCACUGUUGCUGCAGUCACAGGAACCACGUUGAUGUCUUU
RNAcentral lists this unclassified non-coding RNA (325 nucleotides) under Bombus terrestris (buff-tailed bumblebee). RNAcentral describes it as "misc RNA ENSBTSG00005019999.1". The record is from RNAcentral. Lineage: Eukaryota; Metazoa; Arthropoda; Insecta; Hymenoptera; Apidae.